RNAcentral lists this ribosomal RNA (659 nucleotides) under Ochrobactrum sp. EGY-SCJ1. RNAcentral describes it as "bacterial SSU rRNA". It matches the Rfam family "Bacterial small subunit ribosomal RNA", at positions 156 to 851 of the family's 1533-position model. Lineage: Bacteria; Pseudomonadati; Pseudomonadota; Alphaproteobacteria; Hyphomicrobiales; Brucellaceae. The record is from RNAcentral.
ACUUGUGCUAAUACCGUAAGUGCCCUUCGGGGGAAAGAUUUAUCGGCAAAGGAUCGGCCCGCGUUGGAUUAGGCUUUUGGUGAGGUAAAGGCUCACCAAGGCGACUAUCCAUAGCUGGUCUGAGAGGAUGAUCAGCCACACUGGGACUGAAAACGGCCCAAACUCCUACGGGAGGGAGCCGUGGGGAAUAUUGCACAAUGGGCGCAAGCCUGAUCCAGCCAUGCCGCGUGAGUGAUGAAGGCCCUAGGGUUGUAAAGCUCUUUCACCGGUGAAGAUAAUGACGGUCACCGGAAAAGAAGCCCCGGCUAACUUCGUGCCAGCAGCCGCGGUAAUACGAAGGGGGCUAACGUUGUUCAGAUUUACUGGGCGUAAAGCGCACGUAGGCGGACUUUUAAGUCAGGGGUGAAAUCCCGGGGCUCAACCCCGGAACUGCCUUUGAUACUGGAAAUCUUGAUUAUGGUAUAGGUGAGUGGAACUCCGAGUGUAAAGGUGAAAUUCCUAGAUAUUCUGAGGAACACCAGUGGCGAAGGCGACUCACUGGACCAUUACUGACGCUUAUGUGCGAAAGCGUGGGGAGCAAACAGGAUUAGAUACCCUGAUACUCCACGCCGUAAACGAUGAAUGUGAGCCGUUGCGGAGUUUACUCUUCGGUGGCGCAA